CGAAGGGUGCAAGCGUUGUUCGGAAUUACUGGGCGUAAAGCGUGCGUAGGCGGUUUAGUAAGUUGGAAGUGAAAUCCCGGGGCUUAACUCCGGAAUUGCUUUCAAAACUACUAAUCUAGAAUAUGGCAGGGGACAGUGGAAUUCCUAGUGUAGAGGUGAAAUUCGUAGAUAUUAGGAGGAACACCAGUGGCGAAAGCGACUGUCUGGACCAUUAUUGACGCUGAGGCACGAAAGCGUGGGGAGCAAACAGGAUUAGAUACCCUGGUAGUCCACGCCGUAAACGAUGGGUGCUAGAUAUUGGGGCUUAUGCUUCGGUGUCGUAGCUAACGCGUUAAGCACCCCGCCUGGGGAGUACGGUCGCAAGAUUA
Molecule: ribosomal RNA, 368 nt
Filed under: uncultured organism
Description: bacterial SSU rRNA
Rfam family: Bacterial small subunit ribosomal RNA
Source: RNAcentral